Molecule: ribosomal RNA, 630 nt
Filed under: uncultured Alphaproteobacteria bacterium
Lineage: Bacteria; Pseudomonadati; Pseudomonadota; Alphaproteobacteria
Description: bacterial SSU rRNA
Rfam family: Bacterial small subunit ribosomal RNA
Source: RNAcentral
UGCAAGUCGAACGCUCUCUAUGGCUUCGGUCAUUGGGGGAGUGGCGCACGGGUGAGUAACGCGUGGGAACCUGCCCAGGGGUGGGGGAUAACCGAUGGAAACGUCGGCUAAUACCGCAUACGUCCUCAGGGAGAAAGAUUUAUCGCCCUUGGAGGGGCCCGCGUCGGAUUAGCUAGUUGGUGGGGUAACGGCCUACCAAGGCGAUGAUCCGUAGCUGGUCUGAGAGGAUGAUCAGCCACACUGGGACUGAGACACGGCCCAGACUCCUACGGGAGGCAGCAGUGGGGAAUAUUGGACAAUGGGCGCAAGCCUGAUCCAGCAAUGCCGCGUGAGUGAUGAAGGCCUUAGGGUUGUAAAGCUCUUUCGGCGGGGACGAUGAUGACGGUACCCGCAGAAGAAGCCCCGGCUAACUUCGUGCCAGCAGCCGCGGUAAUACGAAGGGGGCGAGCGUUGUUCGGAAUUACUGGGCGUAAAGGGCGCGCAGGCGGCCUCUCAAGUCAGAUGUGAAAGCCCCGGGCUCAACCUGGGAAUGGCAUUUGGGACUGUGAGGCUAGAGAUCGGGAGAGGAGAGUGGAAUUCCCAGUGUAGAGGUGAAAUUCGUAGAUAUUGGGAAGAACACCGGUGGCGAAG